UGAGUAACCUGCCCUUAACUCUGGGAUAAGCCUGGGAAACUGGGUCUAAUACCGGAUAUGACUCCUCAUCGCAUGGGUGGGGGGUGGAAAGCUUUAUUGUGGUUUUGGAUGGACUCGCGGCCUAUCAGCUUGUUGGUGAGGUAAUGGCUCACCAAGGCAACGAUGCGUAGCCGACCUGAGGAGGGUNAUCGGCCACAUUGGAACUGAGACACGGUCCAGACUCCGUACGGGGAGCAG
This 237-nucleotide ribosomal RNA is filed under the name uncultured bacterium. RNAcentral describes it as "partial 16S ribosomal RNA". It matches the Rfam family "Bacterial small subunit ribosomal RNA", at positions 118 to 347 of the family's 1533-position model. The record is from RNAcentral.